ACAGACAAUGUGGUGGUCCUUUA
RNAcentral lists this non-coding RNA (23 nucleotides) under Arabidopsis thaliana (thale cress). Lineage: Eukaryota; Viridiplantae; Streptophyta; Magnoliopsida; Brassicales; Brassicaceae. The record is from RNAcentral.